AGCGAGAGAGAGGAGCACAGGUCUCACACGCUGCUGCUCUUUAUCACUCUGCCUUUGUUUCUCAGAAGAGCUCUUCAUGGAAGCUGAAAGAUCAGCCAUUAGGCCUCCGACCUGUCAAAGGCAAUUCUGUGAAGUACAGCCAAGCAACCGCCACCAGGAAUUAUGGGAUUUCAGUUUUUCUCAGUAACCUGACAGAGGCAAAUAUUGAUUGCUCAAGAGUUGAACUUCAUUGCAAACAUCACGUCACGAGAGCUCAACAAAAGGCCAAAGUUUUACAUUUGCUGCGCAGACUUUGUGGCAAAAACUGCGGAAAAGUGAAACAAGACGUUUAUUACUGAAAGACCGAUUUAAAUCAGCCAAAACAGCUAAGAAACAAUCACGUGAGGCGGGAGGAGUGUGUGCUUUGGUUGUGUGGAGAUCAGCCCAGUUUUCUGCAUGUGUUGGGACUUGUUUGGUGAAUGUAAAUGGGGCAAAUUCACUAAACAAUGGUAUUUCCUCAUGUAAUUCACUAACCACCUGCAAACAAGUGAAAGCAUGUGCAGGCCGUGCCGUCACAGCGGUAAACCUUCAGCAUUCACAGUUCUGGAGUGGACUCUCAUUCUGACGGCACCCAUUCACUGCAGAGCAUCCAUUGCUGAGACACUGAUGCAGAGACACAUUUCUACAAACCUGAUCUCGCACGGCCUGAAGGGGAGCACAUUUUCAGCCUUUUUUUUUAUUUUAUUUUUUUUAUCAUUUUUGCCUGAGUUUCUCCUGUAAGGCCAGGGGUGUGUAUUUAUGAAGUAAAUAAGGUGCAUUCUGAUUCCAGUCGGUCUGCUGUUACAGAGAUGCACAAACCACAGGAACGGUUUCCUUUUACAGCCUCACUUAAAAGCUCAAUGCCAUUGAUCUGCAUGAAAGUGAGCUCAGGUGGGCAUGGGGUCCAGAGACGGCAGCGGUUCGGUGCCCUCGCUGAUCUCAACUGUCACGGAAUGGAACGCACAGGAUUGUGGGAUAUCAAAGGCAGCGAAGGAUACAUCUAUGCUGCCUUCAAAAAUCGAUCAGAUGAAGGUAUCUCAUGAGACAGGAAGUGAAGCUAACUUUGGAUUCGGACGUGCCUUGAUGCCUUCCUACCUUGGAAUGUGUCCUCCGAAGGCAGCAUUUUUCGGUUUUCGGAUGCAGCCCUGGAGAGCCGCAGCCCUGCAGAGUUUUGCUUCAACCCUAAUCACACCUGAACAAGCCAAUCAAGAUCUGAACGGUUACUAAGAAGCUACAGGCAGGUGAGUUUUAAUUAGGGUUGGAGCUGAACUCUGCAGGGCUGCGGCUCUCCAGAACCGGAGUUUGCCACCCCUGGUCUAUAGUCAAAUCUGUCGACUUUGGCAAUCUUUGUUGCAUUAUAUGCCCAUGGUGACUAUUCAAUAACAGGAAAAAGCACUUUUCUCUGUAACCCAAGAAGUAUUAAGGACAUCUUAAUGCCCUUUUAGAUUUUAGUUCUUAACAAACUUUCCUUUUGGCAUCUUUACUUUUAGCCUAAAACAGCCAGUGAUGUAGAAUCCAUAGGCGGGGCUAAACAGACAGUGAUGUAGAAUCGAUAGGCGGGGCUAAACAGGCAGUGACGUAGAAUCGGUGGGCGGGGCUAAACAGGCAGUGACGUAGAAUCGGUGGGCGGGGCUAAACAGACAGUGAUGUAGAAUUGAUAGGAGGGGCUAAACAGGCAGUGACAUAGAAUCGUUGGGCGGGGCUAAACAGGCAGUGAUGUAGAAGCAGGCGUUGAUCAUCUUCUGUGGGGGCGGUGUUUAGCCACACUAUUACAUCAUAGAGUUCAUCAUUCCAAAAGCUGUGGUUUUGGUGGGCUGCCUUCAAUAUAAGCUGUUUUUAGACAAAUGACAAAGUUUUAAAUUCUGAAACUUGAGUUCUGAAAGCAGGAUGUUUUUUAAAGUACACUGUCCUCUUAUAUGUCAAAAGAUCAAAGGAAUUUUGGUUCUCAGUUCAUGAUCCCUUUAAAAGCAAAGUAGGACCAUCUGUAUGCAAAGUGACAAACAUUUGGGUUUUGAUCAUUGAAAAUGUGUACAAUUUAACAGUUUACUCCUGGACCCAUACUAAGAUUCCAAUUUUGCAGGAAUCGAACCAUAGAUAGCCUUAAAAAUGAAGAUGCCAAAAAGAAAGUUUCAGACCCA
Onychostoma macrolepis is the source of this 2156-nucleotide long non-coding RNA. RefSeq lists it as uncharacterized. The transcript is spliced from 3 exons. The record is from RefSeq and is a predicted model, not a curated record. Lineage: Eukaryota; Metazoa; Chordata; Actinopteri; Cypriniformes; Cyprinidae.